GAAGACCUCGCCGAGGAGGCCAAGAGAAUAAGUUUAUCUUCUUCGGCAGACUCACAGCAAGCUGUGACGCAGCGCAACGUCUAAAUAAAUCCUCGAUCAGUGAGCGAUUUCCUAUAUAUACCCGACGAGCUGAUCGCCAAAUCGAUGAUCCAGGUCCAGAACCGUCGAAGGAACAUCAUGAGAUCCAUCGAAGUCUAAAUUUCUGCGGAUAAUGGAGAGACACGGA
This 226-nucleotide unclassified non-coding RNA is filed under the name Galendromus occidentalis (western predatory mite). Its description in RNAcentral is "uncharacterized LOC114828483, transcript variant X1". Lineage: Eukaryota; Metazoa; Arthropoda; Arachnida; Mesostigmata; Phytoseiidae. The record is from RNAcentral.